GACGAACGCUGGCGGCGUGCUUAAUACAUGCAAGUCGAACGGAAAGGCCCUGCUUUUGUGGGGUGCUCGAGUGGCGAACGGGUGAGUAACACGUGAGUAACCUGCCCUUGACUUUGGGAUAACUUCAGGAAACUGGGGCUAAUACCGGAUAGGAGCUCCUGCUGCAUGGUGGGGGUUGGAAAGUUUCGGCGGUUGGGGAUGGACUCGCGGCUUAUCAGCUUGUUGGUGGGGUAGUGGCUUCCGAAGGUUUUGACGGGUAGUCGGCCUUGGAGGGUGACCGGGCACAUUAGGACUGCGGUAGGGAGCAGACUCGUACGGGAGGCAGUAGUGGGGAGUAUUGCACAGCGGGGCGGAGCCUGAUGCGGAGGUGCGGCGAGCGGGAUGCUGGCUUUCGGGUGGUGAACCGCUUUGGACUGAGACGAAGCGUGAGUGACGGUAAUGGGUAAAGAAGCACCGGCUAACUACGUG
RNAcentral lists this ribosomal RNA (468 nucleotides) under uncultured bacterium. Its description in RNAcentral is "partial 16S ribosomal RNA". It matches the Rfam family "Bacterial small subunit ribosomal RNA", at positions 28 to 507 of the family's 1533-position model. The record is from RNAcentral.